CUGAAUUCAGUAAACCUUAUUCUAAACAUAAACCAUCUGAGUCUCCCGAGUGUCUCUAAGUUUGCCUCCUGAUUCUUCUUUCGACAUUGCAGAAUUCCUGAACAAAUUGGCAUCACGAGAACAGGAUCUCCACACAGCAAGGACUGAGUGAAAGUAGGAGUUCCUCCUUAAGGUCAGGGAUUGCAGCAUCUGAGGGCCUCUUCAAAAGAAGACGUAGUUGAUGAAGGUGUUCUCCAGCACGGCCAGAAAGACCACGACCAAGCAGCCUUGAGAUCUUAGGCAGCGUCUCCCUCAGGUUCCUCUCUAUCUCCCCACACAUCCACCAACCACUGGAACACAUCUUCAAAGUUCUGCUGAAGCUCAGCUUCCCCUCAGAAGAAGUGCUGUCAGAUGAAGGAGCCUUUUGAGAGACAGCAGGCAUUGUGAUUGGACUGUACUUUGGUCUGAUCCAAUCCAGCUUCAGCUCCAGAGACGGCAGGCGGGACGAGUCAACGGAGGCCAGGUGGACGAAGGCAUGCAGCUGAGUACAAUCCAGAAAACAACAGAGGAGGAAACAAACAUAGUAGUAUAGUAUAAAAUAUAUAUAGUAUAUUGUACAAAUAACAAGUCAAAGGAAAGACACAUACAUUGUAGAAUUGUAGUAAUUGUGGGCUGACUGAUUUACUGAUUAUCAAUAUUUUAGUUUUUACUGAUUGAUGGUAACAAAUCAAUUUAUUAAUGGCGUUACUUUGGCUCUGAACCUUUAUCUAGCUGUGGUCGCUCUGUCUUCUGGAGUGAUUUGAUUGGUUAUACAUCACAAAUAAAACUCCUUUAACUUAACAUCUGUAAGCAAAACAAAAACAUAUCAACAAAAUUUUCUGUUAGAAUUUGUGUUCUUCUAAGUUUAACUCCAAGAUUUUAAAUGCUUUUAUUUCCUGUAAGUGAAUAUCUACUCCAGAUGUCUCACUAACAAUCAUCCAUCCUCUAUACACCGCUUUAUCCUCACUAGGGUCGCGGGGGUGCUGGAGUCUAUCCCAGCUGACUCGGGCGAAGGCAGGGGACACCCUGGACAGGCCGCCAGUCUGUCGCAGGGCUACAUAUACAGACAGACAAUCACUCUCACAUUCACACCUACGGACAAUUCAGAGUCAUCAAUUAACCUCAGCAUGUUUUUGGACUGUGGGAGGAAGCCGGAGUGCCCGGAGAAAACCCACGCAUGCACAGGGAGAACAUGCAAACUUCAUGCAGAAAGAUCCUAGGCCCACCCUGGGAUUUGAACCGGGGAUCUUCUUGCUGCAAGGCGAAAGUGCUAACCACUUACUUCACUGUGCAGCCACUAAUAAUCAUUAUCAGCCUUAAAAUCCCACAAAACACCCCUCUAUACUGGACCACACUUAGUACAGUCCGGUUCCCCCUUCUAUAAAUCUGCUUGGAAUCUUCCACUUCCUGUUUGUCAAAGUGGCCUUCUACCUGGACAGGUUUAAUUGGAGCUCAUGCAACAAACAUUUUGGGUAACUGCACUUUAAUAUGGAUGGAUGACACUGAAUGAGAGUCUGUUUUAAUGAGAUUGAGUUCAGGUGUGUAGCUCUGUCAUUAAAUAGGAAAUUAUUUCUCAGAAUUCACAGAGAAAAGUCUGAAAUGUUUGCUAGGUUAGCGUCCCACAUGUUCUUUGGCUCAGCUGAAGCUAACUCCCUCCAACUUCUGGAUCUCUUGAGUUGCUUGUUGGUAAAACAUCUUGCUAGAGGUGCUGAAGCUCAAAGUCUGAGAUGUUUGUUCAAAAUAAGCUCAUCCUCAAGUCUUAUCUGAACUGUCCCCUUUUAUUUGAACUUUCCCUAAACUUAGGAGUUAAUGACAGAGCAGCACAUCCAGACUCAGUCUCAUUUAUGUAGAGAUUAAACUUCGGUGUCAUUCAUUGAUGUUAAAGUGCAGUUUUUCACGUUUGUUGCACAUGCUCCCAACCAAACCAGUCCAGGUGGAAGAUGAUGUGAAGAGAAGCUCCAGAGGACGAACAUCACACAUUUACGUUGGAAAUAAAUGUCCUUUAAUUAGACAUUGUCAUGUAAAAGUUGUAUUUCCCUUUAAUGAUGUUGAAAACCUUGUUGAGUGUUUUGUUGAUGUUGGUUUCUAAAUGUUUUCUGACACUUGGCCACAAAGAUUAAAACCUUUCACGGAUCACAAGCUGCAACAAUUCACACAUUAUCAACUAUCUUUCUGACUAAACUAAGAUAAAAAGUGAAAAACUGCCUGAUUCCUGCAUCAUGAAUAUAAAUCUCUUUGGUUUUUAUGACAGUAAACUGAAUAUAUUUGGGUUUGACAUUUUAUAAACCAAAACAAGAAAUGAAUUACUGGAGAAAACAAUCAACAGAUUAAUGGACAAAGAAAAUGUGUUUUCUAACAUAUAUGGCUGAAUUACUCAAACGGUACAAAAUACAUACAAUUUAAAUUCAGUUUUAUUUAUAUAACUCCAAUUACAGGUCAAAUUGUCUCAAGACGCUUUAUAUUUUUUGUCAUAUUUAAAAAAUGACAAAGUAAGAAAUUUAAACCUCCUGUCCAAUCCAAUUUAUUAUUUGGUUUUUAAGAGACUAAUCGACAAUUAAAAUAACUUUCUCCACUAAAACUAAUCAACAUGAGGUCAAAUAGAAGGAACAGUUUUAAAUCCUACAGUCCCACGACGACAAGAAUAAAGUUUGUCAACAAAAACUAAAUCUGCUGGUGGAUUCCAUUAAAGUCCUAAUGAAUGAUAAUAAAGUGUGAUACUAAAGGUUUAUGGUGCUAAAAAUGUCAAAGUAAAGAUAUCAAGUUGAACAUCUGGAUGGAGAUUGAUAAAAGUUGACCUCCCUUCAUUUCUCUGGAGCCGACUCCAUGGAUUUUAUGGAUGCUGGUUAAAGACCUGCUCUUCUAGUCGUCUUCCUUCUAGUUGCUGUAAAAAGUCACUCCAUCCUCAUUGACUUGAACACUUCAUGACAACUUGUUCGUGGAAACUCCAGAAACUUGGGAAACCCGUCGAG
This is a long non-coding RNA of Acanthochromis polyacanthus (spiny chromis), 2987 nucleotides long. RefSeq lists it as uncharacterized. The transcript has 3 exons. NCBI's taxonomy places the organism in Eukaryota, Metazoa, Chordata, Actinopteri, Pomacentridae. The record is from RefSeq and is a predicted model, not a curated record.